AAAACUAUAUUUUCAGGGACCAUUUCUAUAGUCUCUUACUAGAGAAGUUUCUCUAACUGUGUAGAGUAGCAGAAUCCACAAGGAGGAGGGGUAGCAUUCUCUCCUGAGUGUAUUUCUUUGCUGCAAUUGCCAUUUGCCAUUGAUGAUUGUUCACUCUUUCGGGAGAGUAGAAUGAGAAGAUGCAGUCUAAGUGUU
Molecule: small nucleolar RNA, 195 nt
Filed under: Nannospalax galili (Upper Galilee mountains blind mole rat)
Lineage: Eukaryota; Metazoa; Chordata; Mammalia; Rodentia; Spalacidae
Description: Small nucleolar RNA U3 (ENSNGAG00000006416.1)
Rfam family: Small nucleolar RNA U3
About the family: Small nucleolar RNAs (snoRNAs) are involved in the processing and modification of rRNA in the nucleolus.
Source: Rfam by way of RNAcentral